This 160-nucleotide transfer RNA is filed under the name Marmota monax (woodchuck). RNAcentral's name for it is "tRNA.Ser". Lineage: Eukaryota; Metazoa; Chordata; Mammalia; Rodentia; Sciuridae. The record is from RNAcentral.
GAUGGUGUAGCUCAGUGGUAGAGCUUUUGCCUACUGUAAGGUUUUGGGUGCCAUUCCCAGCAUUGCAAAAAAAUAAAAAUAAGGGGCAGUGGAUAUACCUCAGUUGGUAGACUGCUAGCCUCGCAUGCACAAGGCCCUGGGUUGAAUCCCCAGCACCACA